RNAcentral lists this ribosomal RNA (207 nucleotides) under uncultured bacterium. RNAcentral's name for it is "partial 16S ribosomal RNA". It matches the Rfam family "Bacterial small subunit ribosomal RNA", at positions 568 to 774 of the family's 1533-position model. The record is from RNAcentral.
UGUGUAGGUGGCGCGCUAAGUCGGGUGUGAAAUUUCGGAGCUUAACUCCGAAACUGCAUUCGAUACUGGCGUGCUUGAGGACUGGAGAGGAGACUGGAAUUCAUGGUGUAGCAGUGAAAUGCGUAGAGAUCAUGAGGAAGACCAGUGGCGAAGGCGGGUCUCUGGACAGUUCCUGACACUGAGACACGAAGGCCAGGGGAGCAAACG